Molecule: ribosomal RNA, 763 nt
Filed under: uncultured bacterium
Lineage: Bacteria
Description: bacterial SSU rRNA
Rfam family: Bacterial small subunit ribosomal RNA
Source: RNAcentral
GUCGACGGGAGAUUGCUAGCUUGCUAAUAAUUCUCUAGUGGCGCACGGGUGAGUAACACGUGAGUAACCUGCCCCCAAGAGUGGGAUAGCCCCGGGAAACUGGGAUUAAUACCGCAUAAAAUCGCAAGAUUAAAGCAGCAAUGCGCUUGGGGAUGGGCUCGCGUCCUAUUAGUUAGUUGGUGAGGUAACGGCUCACCAAGGCGAUGACGGGUAGCCGGUCUGAGAGGAUGUCCGGCCACACUGGAACUGAGACACGGUCCAGACACCUACGGGUGGCAGCAGUCGAGAAUCAUUCACAAUGGGGGAAACCCUGAUGGUGCGACGCCGCGUGGGGGAAUGAAGGUCUUCGGAUUGUAAACCCCUGUCAUGUGGGAGCAAAUUAAAAAGAUAGUACCACAAGAGGAAGAGACGGCUAACUCUGUGCCAGCAGCCGCGGUAAUACAGAGGUCUCAAGCGUUGUUCGGAAUCACUGGGCGUAAAGCGUGCGUAGGCGGUUUCGUAAGUCGUGUGUGAAAGGCGGGGGCUCAACCCCCGGACUGCACAUGAUACUGCGAGACUAGAGUAAUGGAGGGGGAACCGGAAUUCUCGGUGUAGCAGUGAAAUGCGUAGAUAUCGAGAGGAACACUCGUGGCGAAGGCGGGUUCCUGGACAUUAACUGACGCUGAGGCACGAAGGCCAGGGGAGCGAAAGGGAUUAGAUACCCCUGUAGUCCUGGCAGUAAACGGUGCACGCUUGGUGUGCGGGGAAUCGACCCCCUGCGUGC